Molecule: ribosomal RNA, 176 nt
Filed under: uncultured Desulfocapsa sp.
Lineage: Bacteria; Pseudomonadati; Thermodesulfobacteriota; Desulfobulbia; Desulfobulbales; Desulfocapsaceae
Description: partial 16S ribosomal RNA
Rfam family: Bacterial small subunit ribosomal RNA
Source: RNAcentral
CCAGGGCUACACACGUACUACAAUGGCCGGUACAAAGGGCAGCGACACAGCGAUGUGAAGCCAAUCCCAUAAAGCCGGUCUCAGUCCGGAUUGGAGUCUGCAACUCGACUCCAUGAAGUUGGAAUCGCUAGUAAUCGCGGAUCAGCACGCCGCGGUCGAAUACGUUCCCGGGCCUU